This is a non-coding RNA of Marasmius sp. AFHP31, 92 nucleotides long. The record is from the annotation of a GenBank genome assembly. NCBI's taxonomy places the organism in Eukaryota, Fungi, Basidiomycota, Agaricomycetes, Agaricales, Marasmiaceae.
GGCCUGAUGGUCUAGUAGUAUGAUUCCUUGUUAGGGCUGUUCAAUUGACAGAAAUUUCGAGGAGGUCCCGGGUUCAAUUCCCGGUCAGGCCC